AAGACUAUACUUUCAAGGAUGUUUUCUAUAGUUUCUGACUAGAGAAGUUUCUCUGAUCGUGUAGAGCACCCGAAGCCACGAGGCGGAGCCAGAGCGUUCUCUCCUGAGCCUGAAGCCGGCUCUAGGUGUCGCUUCUUGUGGCUGCCUUUGACCAUUGAUGAUCCUACAUGUGUGUGUGUGUGUGUGUGUGUGUGUGUGUGUGUGUGUGUGUGU
This is a small nucleolar RNA of Suncus etruscus (white-toothed pygmy shrew), 213 nucleotides long. RefSeq annotates it as small nucleolar RNA U3. The transcript has a single exon. Lineage: Eukaryota; Metazoa; Chordata; Mammalia; Eulipotyphla; Soricidae. The record is from RefSeq and is a predicted model, not a curated record.